RNAcentral lists this ribosomal RNA (253 nucleotides) under uncultured bacterium. Its description in RNAcentral is "partial 16S ribosomal RNA". It matches the Rfam family "Bacterial small subunit ribosomal RNA", at positions 524 to 776 of the family's 1533-position model. The record is from RNAcentral.
UACGUAGGGGGCUAGCGUUGUCCGGAUUUAUUGGGCGUAAAGAGCGUGUAGGCGGCCAGGUAGGUCUGGUGUGAAAACUCGAGGCUUAACCUCGAGAUGUCAUCGGAAACCAUUUGGCUAGAGUCCGGAAGAGGAGAGUGGAAUUCCUGGUGUAGCGGUGAAAUGCGCAGAUAUCAGGAAGAACACCAAUGGCGAAAGCAGCUCUCUGGGACGGUACUGACGCUGAGACGCGAAAGCGUGGGAAGCGAACAGG